This is a long non-coding RNA of Magallana angulata, 1342 nucleotides long. RefSeq lists it as uncharacterized. Lineage: Eukaryota; Metazoa; Mollusca; Bivalvia; Ostreida; Ostreidae. The transcript is spliced from 2 exons. The record is from RefSeq and is a predicted model, not a curated record.
GUUUUAAAGAGAACGUCACCUCCGUUUUGACGUGACGUCACUUUUAAAAAUUUUAAAAAGUCAUUUUGUCCGGGAUUUUUCUCAAAAACGCUUUAAGAUAGAGGCUUGAAAUUUUCAAUGGUUAUGAUUUGGUCGAUUUACCUCUGUAAUAAGGCUCGAAAUGAAAAUCUGUCACUUCUGGUCGAAACCGGAAGUGAAACAAAUUUUUCGAAAAAAUGAAUUUUCUGAUCAAAUCAAAAAUGAAUAUGUGUUUUGUAGAGCUUAUCAAACUGAAUCUAACACUGAAAGCCGUUUUAAAAUCGGACGAUGCAUUACAGAGUAAUCGGGGUUUAAAAAUUGAUUUUUCCGGAAAUUUUGAUUCCGCGUCCUUGGUUUAAAAAAUAGCGUUAUGUUCAAAGUAAAAUUAACUCGUACCAAAAGUCUGUUACCAAAAUUAAAUCGAUAAAUGCAUGCUGAUCAUAAAAUAGUUAAUCAGCGUGUUCAUUGAAACGAUGUCGUUAAUUUGAUUGAUUAUUAUACGUCGAGUGUGCUGGCUUGGAAAAUAGUGACAAUUUUUUUUUACCAGAAACAUAUAAUAAAAACGAAGCAGCAAAACAGCAAAACAGUGAAAAGGAAUUGAAAGCCAUUAGUCAAGAAAGACGUUGCUGACAGUUAAUGAAAGCGUAAGUUGAUAUAUAAGCCUUAACCUAAUCGUCACAGACAGUUGUUGAAUAGUCGAACAACACGUAUCCUGACAUUGGAUCAUUGAAUGAAGAGUUUGAAAUAUUUCAAUAUACCUAGGCCGAUUUAUUAUAAUUAUUUACUUGCAAAAUAAAUGCAUAAAUGCUUGUUAUACAUGUUGAAUUGUACUUUGUAUAUCAAACACCGAAAUGAGUAUCGUACGAUUCGUCACGUCAACGCGCCUUGUUUUGAUUGCGAACAGCUGACAGCGAAGUGUCGACAUUUUCAUAUGAUGCAUGGCUUGCAAAACUUCGAUAGUGGAAAAUGCAUCUCAACUAUCGUUUGGGAGAUUAUUAAGCCUAAAACAGACUCUUGUUACAACAUGGCGGACACAUGGCUUUUACCUGUUGAUUCUUGUGGUUUCAGCUCUUGAGGUUAACCUCUCACCCCUACCCACAUGCAUAUUCCUUGUGUUCAACAGACUUUUUACCAGUACAUGUAAUUCAUAUUAAAUCGGAUAAUGCAUGAACAAAAAUGAAACUUUAAGAAAGCAUCAUGCCUUGUUAGGUUUUUGUUGAUAAGAAAUUUAUUAAUGACAAACAAAGUUAAAGCUGUUAAAGGACAUUUACAUUUUUUACAGUAGUUGUGAAGUUUUGUUUUUCAAUAAAAGUCUGCAAUCAUG